This 894-nucleotide unclassified non-coding RNA is filed under the name Pomacea canaliculata. RNAcentral's name for it is "thymidine kinase 2, mitochondrial-like, transcript variant X6". Lineage: Eukaryota; Metazoa; Mollusca; Gastropoda; Architaenioglossa; Ampullariidae. The record is from RNAcentral.
GUUGAAAUGUGGCCAUGCGCAAUAUCGUCUUUUGGACACCAUGGUUUCAUGCGUUGUUAGUCGUGCUCUUUGGGCAUUUAAAUCUUUCAGACCAGGUCAGGUCGGUCGGGAUACAUUGGAUUUGAACGGAUUGUCUCAACGUAUAUCAAAAUCAGGUUUAUCAAUGGAACAAGCUGUUACAGAGGGUACAUGUCAUUUGAACCACAUACACACAUACAGAGUGUGUGUGGAAGGAAACAUAGGAAGUGGUAAGACAACUCUUUUAAAUCACUUCUUGAAUAAUAAAGACACAGAGGUCAUUCAAGAGCCUGUUAGUAUGUGGAGAAAUGUCAGGGGAUUCAACGUGCUUGAUCAUUUGUAUCGUGAUCCUAGCAGAUGGGGUAUGGCUCUACAGACAUAUGUACAACUUACAAUGUUGAAGAUCCACACAAAACCACAGGUUCAACCAGUCCGAAUGAUGGAGAGAUCACUCCAUAGUGCCAGAUAUUGUUUUGUGGAAAAUCUUCGAAACAGUGGUAACAUGCCAGAGAUGGAGUAUGUCAUUUUGGAUGAAUGGUACCGUUGGAUUACACAGGCGCACAAUGUGCAUGUUGAUCUGUUUGGAGAUAAGUUUCAAGUCCAGUGCCAUUUAUGUGCUUGUCACCAAGUGAUGACUGGUUGUCCUGAGUUCUCGGGCACUCGGUUCUUUCUCAGUACAUGACACCUGUUUACAGGGCUAUCUUUGUCGCCAUAAGAUAGCAUCUGCUGGCUGGUAUAUCUUUAUACGACUCCAGAGACCUGUUAUGAGAGAAUAAAGAAACGUUGUCGCAGUGAAGAAAUUGGGAUAUCAAUGGACUUGCUACAGAAUCUUCACAUAUUGCAUGAAGAUUGGUUAAAGCACCAAAAAUUUCCUGU